RNAcentral lists this ribosomal RNA (449 nucleotides) under uncultured prokaryote. Its description in RNAcentral is "bacterial SSU rRNA". It matches the Rfam family "Bacterial small subunit ribosomal RNA", at positions 355 to 796 of the family's 1533-position model. The record is from RNAcentral.
UGGGGAAUUUUGCGCAAUGGGCGAAAGCCUGACGCAGCGACGCCGCGUGUACGAUGAAGGCCUUUGGGUCGUAAAGUACUGUCAACCGAGACGAAAACUUGGGGGCUAAUACCUCCUGAGCUUGACGGUAUCGGUGGAGGAAGCACCGGCUAACUCUGUGCCAGCAGCCGCGGUAAUACAGAGGGUGCAAACGUUGCUCGGAAUUACUGGGCGUAAAGCGCGUGUAGGCGGUCUGUUAAGUCGACUGUGAAAGCCCAUGGCUCAACCAUGGAAGUGCAGUCGAUACUGGCAGACUGGAGUCCCGGAGAGGGUGGUGGAAUUCCCAGUGUAGAGGUGAAAUUCGUAGAUAUUGGGAGGAACACCGGUGGCGAAGGCGACCACCUGGACGGGUACUGACGCUGAGACGCGAAAGCGUGGGGAGCAAACAGGAUUAGAUACCCCCGUAGUCC